UAUUUAAGGUGGUGGCUUGGGCCAUUUCAGGAAGUGACUCAGUUUUUUGUUUUUUUGUUUUUUUUGUCUUUCCCAUGUGUUUUUUGAUCUUUCCCAUACUCAGUCAUCUGUGACUCUUUGCAAUGAUUUGUACUGUAAGUCCACCGGAUUUUUCAGGCAAGAAUACUGGAGUGGAUUGCCAUUUCCUUUGCCAGGGGAUCUUCCCGACCCAGGGAUUGAACCUGCAUCUCUUGGUCUCCUACACUGCUGGCGAAUUCUUUACUGCUGAGCCAUCAGUGAAGCCACUUUCCCAUGUAUACAGCAGGAAAGGGAAAGAGAGGAACUCAUUCCUCUUUUUUUUCCUUUUCACUGCAACAGCAUCCAGUUUUCCUGUGCAUCUCCCAUGUAAAGAAGUACAAAUGAAGAAUCAAAGCUACUCCAUUUUGUAAGGUUCCGGGAAAAGAGCCUUUGGAAAUCCCCUGACCUCACCCCACCACCUGCAAACCAAUCAGAACCCUUGGCCAGCCAGGGAAAUUCGAGUCAAGCCCAGGAAAGGAGAACCAAUCAGAACUCAACACCUAACCCUUCACCAGAGGGUGACCAAUCAGACCCGGAGACUCCCGGUUUUUGAAUUUUUCGCACGAUAAUACCCUAUAUAAGCAAUGUAACCCAGAGCUCAGGGCUCCUCCCUAUAGCUGCUGCGUCGGUAUCGGUGGGAGCCCCAGCUCGAGCUUGGUAAUAAAAACUCUCUUGCUUUUGCAUCAGAUAUUGGCUCCCUGGUGGUCAUUGGGAGAUUUCGCAACUUGGG
This 787-nucleotide long non-coding RNA is filed under the name Capra hircus (goat). Its description in RNAcentral is "lncRNA (ENSCHIG00000004263.1)". Lineage: Eukaryota; Metazoa; Chordata; Mammalia; Artiodactyla; Bovidae. The record is from RNAcentral.